CUGGAUUCUUAAGGAUGCAUCCAGCAU
Molecule: non-coding RNA, 27 nt
Filed under: Rattus norvegicus (Norway rat)
Lineage: Eukaryota; Metazoa; Chordata; Mammalia; Rodentia; Muridae
Source: RNAcentral